RNAcentral lists this ribosomal RNA (497 nucleotides) under uncultured bacterium. Its description in RNAcentral is "partial 16S ribosomal RNA". It matches the Rfam family "Bacterial small subunit ribosomal RNA", at positions 28 to 507 of the family's 1533-position model. The record is from RNAcentral.
GAUGAACGCUGGCGGCGUGCCUAAUACAUGCAAGUCGAGCGAACAGACGAGGAGCUUGCUCCUCUGACGUUAGCGGCGGACGGGUGAGUAACACGUGGAUAACCUACCUAUAAGACUGGGAUAACUUCGGGAAACCGGAGCUAAUACCGGAUAAUAUAUUGAACCGCAUGGUUCAAUAGUGAAAGACGGUUUUGCUGUCACUUAUAGAUGGAUCCGCGCCGCAUUAGCUAGUUGGUAAGGUAACGGCUUACCAAGGCAACGAUGCGUAGCCGACCUGAGAGGGUGAUCGGCCACACUGGAACUGAGACACGGUACAGACUCCUACGGGAGGCAGCAGUAGGGAAUCUUCCGCAAUGGGCGAAAGCCUGACGGAGCAACGCCGCGUGGGUGAUGAAGGUCUUCGGAUCGUAAAACUCUGUUAUUGGGGAAGAACAAAUGUGUAAGUAACUAUGCACGUCUUGACGGUACCUAAACAGAAAGCCACGGCUAACUACGUG